UAGGGAAUAUUGCUCAAUGGGCGAAAGCCUGAAGCGGCAACGCCGCGUGUGUGAUGAAGGCCUUCGGGUCGUAAAGCACUUUUCUGGGAGAUGAGAAAGGACAGUAUCCCAGGAAUAAGUCUCGGCUAACUACGUGCCAGCAGCCGCGGUAAAACGUAGGAGGCGAGCGUUAUCCGGAUUCACUGGGCGUAAAGCGCGUGCAGGUGGCGCGGUAAGUUGGGCGUGAAAUCUCCCGGCUCAACUGGGAGAGGUCGUCCAAUACUACCGUGCUUGAGAGCAGAAGAGGAAGAUGGAAUUCCCGGUGUAGUGGUGAAAUGCGUAGAUAUCGGGAGGAACACCAGUGGCGAAGGCGAUCUUCUGGUCUGUUUCUGACACUCAGACGCGACAGCUAGGGUAGUAAACGGGAUUAGAGACCCGGUAAUCCUAGCCGUAAACGAUGUGAACUUGGCGUUGGUGGGUUAAACUCCAUCAGUGCCGCAGCAAACGCGAUAAGUU
Molecule: ribosomal RNA, 495 nt
Filed under: uncultured Chloroflexota bacterium
Lineage: Bacteria; Bacillati; Chloroflexota
Description: bacterial SSU rRNA
Rfam family: Bacterial small subunit ribosomal RNA
Source: RNAcentral